This 862-nucleotide ribosomal RNA is filed under the name uncultured eukaryote. Its description in RNAcentral is "bacterial SSU rRNA". It matches the Rfam family "Eukaryotic small subunit ribosomal RNA", at positions 712 to 1470 of the family's 1831-position model. The record is from RNAcentral.
GCGCUACGCAUCCACAUAUGCAUACCGGACGUCGGUCAAUGUACUGUGAACAAACAGCGUGUCCAAAACAGGCUUUCGCUGAAUGUCGAGCAUGGAAUAACAAGGGAUCGAUUCUCUCGGUUCUUUUUGUUGGUUUUUAACCCGAGAAGGGAGUAAUUCAGUCCACGGUGUCUGAGUUGGGUUUCCCUUCACCUCGGUGGAGGCCCCAAUUAGGCCGUGUACUUACGGGAUAAAUAGGGACUGACGGGGUCGUACGUACUUCCACGUCAGAGGUGAAAUUCUUAGAUCGUGGGAAGACGAACUUCGGCGAAAGCAUUCGACAAGAAUGUCUUCAUUAAUCAAGAACGAGAGUGUGGGGAUCGAAGAUGAUCAGAUACCGUCGUAGUCCACUACUGUAAACAAUGCCGUCUCAGGAUUGAGAAGUGAACAGAAUGACUUUCACAGCACUAACCCCUGAAACGAGAAAUCAAAGAUUAUGGGUUCAGGGGGGAGUACAUUCGCAAGGCUGAAACUUAAAGGAAUUGACGGAAUGACACCACAAGGCGUGGAGUAUGCGGCUUAAUUUGACUCAACACGGGGAAUUUUACUAGGUCAGGACAAUGUAAGGAUUGACAGAUUGAGAGCUCUUUCUCGAUCCAUUGUGUGGUGGUGCAUGGCCGCUCCUGGUUGGUGGAGUGAUUUGUCUGGUUGAUUCCGUUAACGAACGAGAUCUCGACCCUUAAAUAGGUGCCCAUGUCGAUUGUAGUUUCGCCUCCGCUCGCUUGCGAGAUUGGAGCGGGACGAGACUGUGGGAAUACUUCUUAGGGGGACUGUGUGCGUCUCUAGCACGCGGAAGAGCGAGCCAAUAGCAGGUCUGUGAUGC